Molecule: long non-coding RNA, 408 nt
Filed under: Sorghum bicolor (sorghum)
Lineage: Eukaryota; Viridiplantae; Streptophyta; Magnoliopsida; Poales; Poaceae
Description: long non-coding RNA (SBIC_LNC015324)
Source: RNAcentral
CCACAAGUUUGGUUGCGUGUUGCGUCUCCUAUUCCUGUCGUGUCCUGUCCUUUUCAUCUCUUUAUAUAUUUCUGUUUUUUAAAAGUUCUUUAUUUCUUAGGCCUUGUUUAGUUUAUCCAAAAACCAAAAAUUUUUAAAGAUUAUCUCCGUCAUAUCAAAUCUUGCGGCACAUGCAUAGAGCAUUAAAUAUAAAUGAAAACAAAAACUAAUUACACAAUUUAUAUGUAAAUGGCGAGAUAAAUCUUUUAAGCCUAGUUACUCCAUAAUUGGACAAUGUUUGUCGAAAAAAAACGAAAACACUACAGUGUCAAAAUAAAAAAAAUAGAUCUAAACAAGGCCUUGUCUCUUCGUCAGGGUGCAGCGUUAUCUAUAUGGUAUGACAUGGAUCAAUGUGUGAUAUAUAUCCCA